Molecule: transfer RNA, 55 nt
Filed under: Patella ferruginea
Lineage: Eukaryota; Metazoa; Mollusca; Gastropoda; Patellidae
Description: tRNA-Cys
Source: RNAcentral
GGCUCUCAUUCUCGGCUGCAACCCGAAAUAUAGCGACAUAAUGUCGCGCUAGUCU